RNAcentral lists this long non-coding RNA (844 nucleotides) under Citrus sinensis (sweet orange). RNAcentral describes it as "long non-coding RNA (CSIN_LNC003719)". The record is from RNAcentral. Lineage: Eukaryota; Viridiplantae; Streptophyta; Magnoliopsida; Sapindales; Rutaceae.
AUUAAUCUAACACUUUACUCACAAAGAUUGGCAGUUGAGUUCAUCAUGGCUUGAAAUUAAAGAAGCUUGCACUAAAAUUGGGCUCUUCAAGUUUCAACAAUUCAAAACAAAAGAAAGGUUGGUUUGUCUAACAUUUUUUUUUUUUUGGUAAGAAUGUUUGGUUGAUCACCUCUUUAAUUCUGUCACCUGCUGCAGCCAGUGAUCCAAACAAAGAUGCACACAAAUCUAUUGGUCAAAAAUUGACUCUAAAUCUAAUAAAUAAAAUCUUUUCAUUUCCUCAACUUAAUUAUCGACCAAUAUGUAACCUACAUCUGCUCUUAAACUUUCACGAAACUCACAAAUUUUGCUCGGCGUCACAGAAAUUUCUUCUCAUUUCAAGUGCAUAUAACACAGUGAGUUGUCUUGACGACCCCUUUUUUAUAUUGUUUCAUCAUCAUAUGGCCGCUGCAUUUCGUGAAAAAGAGGCUUCAAGUGUAUGAAUGAGAUGGUUCUUUAUUUUGCAUGCAACUCUUUUAAGGUAUGUUAAUUGAUUCUUGUUGUUUAAUUCAUUCUUUUUGUUCCUGUUUUACUUAUAAUAAUCAUCAUCAUAACUAUAUUGUUAGUUCAUUCUUUUCUUUGUUGUGGGUAAAAUCUUUGACUUAUAUGCUCCAAACUUCUUAAUGUUAAUUAAAUUCUGCAGCAUUUUUGUUUUCCGAAACGUGUUUCUCUAUUUUCUCGCAUAAAACUUACAGAAAGCAAGAGUGGCUCUUCUGCAUACACCUGUUGUCAUUGCCAUCAGUACUGUUUUUUUUUUUUUUUUCCUUCUCUUUUCUUUUAACUUUUUGUUCUUGUUUUUGUUAUAAUA